GUGGGGCACUCCGCCCCACUACACUGCCCAAUGCAGCUCUGACGCAGAGAAGUCUCUGCGGCCUGGCAUCUGUGGGGCCCUGCCCACCUCCCAGGGGCCAGGCCAAUCUCAGCCAGCGGAAGCUCAGAUGGGCCCCACCAGGCGAGUGGGUCCUGCGGGAGCCCAGCUCAGGAAGGCCCUGCUCCCGCUCCGACCGGGUUGAUCAUGCCACUCCCCAGGGACCAGAGUGACCCCUGCCUUGGUGCCAGCCACAGCCGCACUGCCAGCUCAGCCUGGCAGACACGGUCACCUUCCAGUGGGGCUGAAGGAAAUACUUUGGGGGAAAAGAAUCAGCACCAACAUUUAAAAAGAAACAAACAAACAACUGAAUAGGGAACUGUAGCAAACCAGCACCAGAUCCUACAUUCCUUAAAGCAUCAAAACUCCUGCUGUCUGCAUGGUUUGCCUCCAAACACCAAGCAAGACGUAGCCAGCCUCCUGUUGUAAAUACCUGGAUAUCCAGUCUACAGAGUUUCAACACGGAAUUCAGAAAUCUCUCCUUUUCAGCAGACAUACAAGGAAAGACCGAGAAUGCAAAUGAUAAAUGUAGUGCAUCACCUAAUCUUGUCACGUAAUCAUUCAUCCCAGGAGAAAUACAAAGAACUUAAGUCUGUUGUUUUUGC
Long non-coding RNA from Mauremys mutica (yellowpond turtle), 662 nucleotides. RefSeq lists it as uncharacterized. Lineage: Eukaryota; Metazoa; Chordata; Testudines; Geoemydidae. The transcript has 3 exons. The record is from RefSeq and is a predicted model, not a curated record.